UACGUAGGGUGCAAGCGUUAAUCGGAAUUACUGGGCGUAAAGGGUGCGCAGGCGGCUGUGCAAGACAGAUGUGAAAUCCCCGGGCUUAACCUGGGAACUGCAUUUGUGACUGCACGGCUAGAGUUUGUCAGAGGAGGGUGGAAUUCCGCGUGUAGCAGUGAAAUGCGUAGAUAUGCGGAAGAACACCAAUGGCGAAGGCAGCCCUCUGGGACAUGACUGACGCUCAUGCACGAAAGCGUGGGGAGCAAACAGG
RNAcentral lists this ribosomal RNA (253 nucleotides) under uncultured bacterium. Its description in RNAcentral is "partial 16S ribosomal RNA". It matches the Rfam family "Bacterial small subunit ribosomal RNA", at positions 524 to 776 of the family's 1533-position model. RNAcentral also lists the same sequence under 2 other names. The record is from RNAcentral.